AUUGAACGCUGGCGGCAUGCCUUACACAUGCAAGUCGAACGGCAGCAUGAUCUAGCUUGCUAGAUUGAUGGCGAGUGGCGCACGGGUGAGUAAUACAUCGGAACGUGCCCUGUAGUGGGGGAUAACUAGUCGAAAGAUUAGCUAAUACCGCAUACGACCUGAGGGUGAAAGUGGGGGACCGCAAGGCCUCAUGCUAUAGGAGCGGCCGAUGUCUGAUUAGCUAGUUGGUGAGGUAAAGGCUCACCAAGGCGACGAUCAGUAGCUGGUCUGAGAGGACGAUCAGCCACACCGGGAAUGAGACACGGGCCAGAAUCCCAAGGGAGGGAGGAGGGGGGAAUUUUGGAAAAUGGGGGGAAGCCCUAUCCAGCCAAAGCGCGGGGGUGAAAAAGGCCUUUGGGGUUGAAAGGCCUUUUUUUGGGGAAAAAAAGGGGUCGGGUAAAACCCUGGGGUCGUGAAGGUACCCGAAAAAAAAGGACCGGCUAAAUUAGUG
This 490-nucleotide ribosomal RNA is filed under the name uncultured bacterium. RNAcentral describes it as "partial 16S ribosomal RNA". It matches the Rfam family "Bacterial small subunit ribosomal RNA", at positions 29 to 507 of the family's 1533-position model. The record is from RNAcentral.